RNAcentral lists this unclassified non-coding RNA (221 nucleotides) under uncultured Euzebyaceae bacterium. Its description in RNAcentral is "contains 16S-23S intergenic spacer region". Lineage: Bacteria; Bacillati; Actinomycetota; Nitriliruptoria; Euzebyales; Euzebyaceae. The record is from RNAcentral.
UCCGGUUUGACACCGGCAGUCUCCUAUGAGUCCCCGACAUGACUCGCUGGCAACAUAGGAUAGGGGUUGCGCUCGUUGCGGGACUUAACCCAACACCUCACGGCACGAGCUGACGACAACCAUGCACCACCUGUAUAGGACGCCGAAGCACACCACAUCUCUGUGGCUUUUCCCUAUAUUUCAAGCCCUGGUAAGGUGGGGAUGACGUCUGCGUAACAGAA